Molecule: non-coding RNA, 48 nt
Filed under: Schistosoma mansoni
Lineage: Eukaryota; Metazoa; Platyhelminthes; Trematoda; Strigeidida; Schistosomatidae
Source: RNAcentral
AUCCAGUUGACAAGUCUCAAAUAGGACGAAACGCGCGUCAAACUGGAU